GGGUUGGAACUGGGCAGUCUUCCCGUGGGGAAUCCCGCUGCCUGGCUUCCCACCUUUGCCCUCCCAAUCGCGAGGGUUGGGGAGUUGAGGCUGGAGGGGGGAGGGAACGCAUUCCAGAUGGAGAGAGGAACGGGUGGAUGCAUAGGUCGCGCCAGGGCUUGGAUCUGUGGAGUUCCGAAGACAGGCUGGACUUCAGAGGGCCACGCCUCUCAAGUGUCCCCCACCCUCUCCCCCGCCCCGCUCCCCUAUGUCGGGCUAGGUAAAGGCACAGCCCCCCCCACACACACACACCCCACACACCUCCCUGUGCCUCAUUUCCAUCACCACACAGAUGGCCGGCACUUCGUCUCGCUCACGCCUGCUUCCGAGUGGACAGAGACUGUGACCUAGGACGGCGAUUUCCGCGGCGCCCGGUAAUUGCUCAGGACAUUAAUGAGGGUUUAGAAGAAGGUACAGGUCCUGCCCCCAGCGUUCUAGGUCGCUCGCCUUAGCCCUUCUCUUCUCUUUUCCCACUGCCAUUAAACCAUUUCCAUCCAGAACUGGUUUCGUGAUGCGAGAAUUUUAAUCGUCAUCAGAAAUCUUUUAAUGCUUGUGUGUCUCAAUAGUUUUUCUCUCCCAGGGGCAUAUGAGCAUGAACGUUCUAACUCCUCAAAUUCUGAUUCCAUCUCGCGAGCAUGAAAUAGAAAAUUUGUACCUUGAACGAGCAUCCCAGCUCAUCGGCGGUGCCCACCCUUUGAGACACACUAAAGAAGACUUCACUGCUCCUCUGAGCAGAGAAGGGAACCUGGGGAAAGGAGUCCGCCCACAACUCAAGUUCCUAGAACUGGGAGAAUGGCUUGGAAACUUGGUCUAAAAGACAGGAAAUAAGUAGUCUCAGGUUGUCUGACUCUGCUUCACUCCCAGGAAGUCCUGCACAUGCUCUCUCAGCCUAUCAUCAGUCUCUACACCGUAACGCCUAGAGAAGGCACUAAGAUACAAGGAGGGACAGUGUGUGUGGCAGCCAAGGUCAGGCAGGGCAUGACAGUUAAUUCAUUUUCUAUCUGACAGGAUUUAGAAGCACCUAAGGGACAAACCCCUGGGCCCCUUUGAAGGUAUUUUUAGAGAUAAGACCCACCUUGAAUGAGGGCAGCUCGGUCCCCAAAGACCAGUGUCCCUCAGAGAAUGAAAAGUUGAAGUGACCUGAGCACCACAUUGGCUCUUCCUGACUGCCGGUAGAGUGUGACUGCCUGCCACCAUGCCUCCUCUUUGAUGGCCUGUGUCUUCAAACUGUGACUCAAACCCUUUCUUUCGUAGCUUUUGUUUGUCAUGGCCGUGAGAAAACACCUGAAGAAAGUCAUUCAGAUGGGCAGCAGCGACUGUCCCACACUUAUUGGCCCAUCUUUCCCUCAUUCUUUCUGACCUAGGAGGCCACGAUGCUGGGUUUUUUGAUUACCUAGCCACUGAUGGCCUGAGCCACCAAAAGGGUUAGAUGUCCCUUCUGAGCAGGAGUCAGAUUUCCUGCCACCUGCCAGUACAGUGGGUCCUCUCCGAACUGAUAGAUGGGACCUGGCCAAUGCAAUUACUGCCCAUUGGAGGGUCCAUUGAGGCUGAGGUCAAGGGACGGGGAAGGGUGUCUGAAGAAGACAUCCAGGCCAGGUGGUUCAUCUUGGAGGUGAUCAUGCCAUGUCCUGUUGCAGCAUCCAGCCUCCCGAACCGUCCUUACAUGCCUGGUGGGUGUCCUCGACAGAGAAAUAAUAGUUAUAGUUAGCCUGCACUAGCCCUGUUCUCAAUACUUCAUAUACAUUCACUUAACUGUCACACCAACCCUAUGAAAUAGCAUUUACAUUAUCCCAUUUUUCAGGUGAGGAAGCUGCAAGAUGUUAAAUAAUGUGGUCAAGGUCUUCCAACUAGAGAGUACUAGAGCACUGAGUGGUUCUACCCAAAGGGUCAUUGGAUCUGUGCAGUCCUACUUUAGAAAUACUGGGAAAGUCCUACAAAGACAAACACCAUCAGGAGCCGUCUCCCCAGCCUGGGCAUUCUGGCUCUGGUGGUCAGAGAGGACCAGACAGGUGCUGUGAGAGGCGCAUCAAGUUCAUUUGAUACAGGCUGUCCCUUCAGUGAGCUUCUGCCGGAACACAGGUCCCCUAGCACCCUCUGUGUCUCUCAGGUAAAUGGUGGCCCUCCUGGGGAUUUGGCAUGGAGGUAGGAUAGCUGGAGGGUGGCGGGAGGCUCUGAGAACCAGGCUUUGACUCUGGACCAUGCAUGUCUCUUCCAACUGGGCCUCUUGGCUGACUUUGCACACACUGAGCCCGCAGCUUCCUGGAUCUCGUCUGGAGCCUUAACACUCCACGUGUCCAACACUCCCUUCCUGCCCCAGGGGGCUCCUCCUCCUGCUUUGCCUCUCAGCUCCUGGAGCCCUGCCACUGUCUAAGCAAGAAACCUGUAAGGCGGCUCCCUUCUCCUACAGCCGACCAGGCACCUGGGUGGUUGGUUCAACCACUGCAGCUGCUACAGCCAGGGGUGGUCUUGUAGCAGGUACUGUGGGCAGCCCACUCAUCGUAGUGUUAGCUCUCUUGUAAACACCACUUUCUUCUCCUUACAGCUUUUAUUUGCAAGUGGGGGAGCACAGAGAGGUGAAGUAAUCUGUCCAAGGUCACACUGAUAGCAAAUCGUAGAGCCACGCCUGGGCACGAAAUGACAGUCCACGUACCUAUCUACUACUUCAGCCACCUCUCUGGUCCCUGAUUGCUACCUCCACCUCGCCUCCCUUCAUCCUUUCAGUGUAUCCCCUCAGCAUCAUUAAUAAAACUCUUGACUUCAUUUGA
Molecule: long non-coding RNA, 2804 nt
Organism: Mesocricetus auratus (golden hamster)
Lineage: Eukaryota; Metazoa; Chordata; Mammalia; Rodentia; Cricetidae
Exons: 2
Source: RefSeq, a predicted model, not a curated record